This 254-nucleotide ribosomal RNA is filed under the name uncultured bacterium. RNAcentral's name for it is "partial 16S ribosomal RNA". It matches the Rfam family "Bacterial small subunit ribosomal RNA", at positions 524 to 776 of the family's 1533-position model. The record is from RNAcentral.
UACGUAGGGUGCGAGCGUUGUCCGGAAUUAUUGGGCGUAAAGAGCUCGUAGGCGGUGUGUCACGUCGGCCGUGAAAACCUGCAGCUUAACUGUGGGCUUGCGGUCGAUACGGGCAUCACUGGAGUUCGGCAGGGGAGACUGGAAUUCCUGGUGUAGCGGUGAAAUGCGCAGAUAUCAGGAGGAACACCGGUGGCGAAGGCGGGUCUCUGGGCCACUACUGACGCUGAGAAGCGAAAGCAUGGGGAGCGAACAGG